ACAACAAUACCCACAUUCACAAAAGCAAACAUACCCGACCCAGCCCUGGUCUUCUUCUUCCUCACGAAACCAGAUGACCCCAUCUCGUCCAAAAUCAGACGCAAGACGAAAUACUAGCGGAAAUACCGGUGCAAACCCGGAAAUCUCGCCCAACUACCCUGCAAAACCCAUAGCCUAGCAGUCUCAACGUCAACCCCUCACGUACCCUUUUCCCCCUUUUCAGGGAUUUUCAAAUCUCUUCACUGGUGGCCUUGGAAAAAGGGAAUCCGGAUUUCAAAUUCAAAAUGAUACCCGAUUUGCCCCCCAAAAUCAGUCCACCUUCAUCUAAUUAAGAUCGUUUAUCUCUUUGUGUUUGAGAGAGGUAAGUCGGGGGAUUUUUUUCCUUAAUUUUGAUUGAUGAAUAUAGUAUCAAAAACCAUAAAGCUAGGUCCAGAUUUUUGGAAUUUCUCUUCAUCUCAUCUGAAGCUUUUAGCGGAGUUCAUUAGAAUUCUCGAUGUUCAUCUCUUGUUUGGUGUGGAAUUUGAUUCAUAGUUAAGUUCGUCUGGUCUCAUUUUGCUGCUCCGGUAAUGUUCGCCAUGAACUCCUAUCUCCUAUCCUUGCCGCUUGAGUUGUGUCGAAACUGAAUAUCUCUCCAAUAUCGAGUCAGCCAAGUAAUGAAACGGGCUGAAGGCAGUGAAUAUGGGCUGAAAUUAAAGUAGCAGGCCCCAAAAAAAGCCCAAGUAAGGGUUGCAUACCCGUUGUAUACAGCAGUAUACACUUGUUAUAUGGUGAUAUACAGAAAUACAGGUCGGAGGCUGUGGUCCAGGCGCUGAAAGGUUGAGGUAGACUGUAUGCAGUUGCUAUACAAUUUGACUUACAGAAAAAUGGGUUAAGUUACGACCUGUAUAAUAGUGUUCAAAGCCCAAUACAAUUGCAGCAGUAGCCCAAUUAGUUGGGCAGUGACUAGUGAGGGUUUGGGGCCAAGAAUAGCCCAAACUCAUUAAUUUCUCUUCUUUCAUUGCUUGAUUAUUUUACGGGGAAAAAACACAAGUAUACACUUUUUUUAUAAAUAAUUACAUAUAUAUAUAUAUAGCCGUAUUCGGUGAAUAACAAUUAUGACAUAUUUAAUAUUUACUUC
This is a long non-coding RNA of Solanum pennellii, 1117 nucleotides long. RefSeq lists it as uncharacterized. The record is from RefSeq and is a predicted model, not a curated record. Lineage: Eukaryota; Viridiplantae; Streptophyta; Magnoliopsida; Solanales; Solanaceae. The transcript is spliced from 2 exons.